GACGAACGCUGGCGGCGUGCCUAAUACAUGCCAGUUGAGCGCUGAAGGUUGGUACUUGUACCAACUGGAUGAGCAGCGAACGGGUGAGUAACGCGUGGGGAAUCUGCCUUUGAGCGGGGGACAACAUUUGGAAACGAAUGCUAAUACCGCAUAAAAACUUUAAACACAAGUUUUAAGUUUGAAAGAUGCAAUUGCAUCACUCAAAGAUGAUCCCGCGUUGUAUUAGCUAGUUGGUGAGGUAAAGGCUCACCAAGGCGAUGAUACAUAGCCGACCUGAGAGGGUGAUCGGCCACAUUGGGACUGAGACACGGCCCAAACUCCUACGGGAGGCAGCAGUAGGGAAUCUUCGGCAAUGGACGAAAGUCUGACCGAGCAGCGCCGCGUGAGUGAAGAAGGGUUUCGGAUCGUAAAACUCUGUUGGUAGAGAAGAACGUUGGUGAGAGUGGAAAGCUCAUCAAGUGACGGUAACUACCCAGAAAGGGACGGCUAACUACGUG
Molecule: ribosomal RNA, 497 nt
Filed under: uncultured bacterium
Lineage: Bacteria
Description: partial 16S ribosomal RNA
Rfam family: Bacterial small subunit ribosomal RNA
Source: RNAcentral